RNAcentral lists this ribosomal RNA (254 nucleotides) under uncultured bacterium. RNAcentral describes it as "partial 16S ribosomal RNA". It matches the Rfam family "Bacterial small subunit ribosomal RNA", at positions 524 to 776 of the family's 1533-position model. The record is from RNAcentral.
UACGUAGGUGGCGAGCGUUGUCCGGAUUUACUGGGCGUAAAGCGCGCGUAGGUGGCUUUCUAAGUCCUGUCGUGAAAGGUCGUGGCCCAACUGCGACACUGCGGAGGAUACUGGGAAGCUUGAGGGCAGCAGAGGCCGGUGGAAUUCCCGGUGGAGUGGUGAAAUGCGUAGAGAUCGGAAGGAACGCCCGUGGCGAAAGCGAGCUCCUGGACGUUCACUGACGCUGAGACGCGAAAGCCAGGGGAGCGAACGGG